Schizosaccharomyces pombe (fission yeast) is the source of this 314-nucleotide non-coding RNA. The record is from the annotation of a GenBank genome assembly. NCBI's taxonomy places the organism in Eukaryota, Fungi, Ascomycota, Schizosaccharomycetes, Schizosaccharomycetales, Schizosaccharomycetaceae.
AAAGCUAAAAAGGAUAUGAAAGAAGCGACAGCACCAGCUAAAGCAGGAGCACACCAUUUAGCAGCCCUUGCAGGCUGAGUGCCCUCCAAGUAAUGAAAAUUUGGAGUAUAGAUGGUGGGAGAAUUAUAGACAGUGAAAUACCAAAAAACGGAUAUGUGCAAAAUCCAAAUUCGGCUGAAAUUAUGAAGGAAAUGAAGCCAAGUACGUGACUCACGAAAUGAUUUAUAGCAAACUCGUUGCCAUUGAAUAUCAGCUAAAAGAAAGUAACGACUGGCAACAUCGGCGUCCAUAAUUCUAGAUCCGUCUGAUAAUAA